This 262-nucleotide ribosomal RNA is filed under the name uncultured bacterium. Its description in RNAcentral is "partial 16S ribosomal RNA". It matches the Rfam family "Bacterial small subunit ribosomal RNA", at positions 92 to 354 of the family's 1533-position model. The record is from RNAcentral.
UUAGUGGCGGACGGGUGAGUAACGCGUGGGCAACCUGCCUUACACAGGGGGAUAACACUUAGAAAUAGGUGCUAAAACCGCAUAAGCGCACAGCUUCGCAUGAAGCGGUGUGAAAAACUCCGGUGGUGUAAGAUGGACCCGCGUCUGAUUAGCUUGUUGGCGGGGUAACGGCCCACCAAGGCGACGAUCAGUGGCCGGCCUGAGAGGGCGGACGGCCACAUUGGGACUGAGACACGGCCCAGACUCCUACGGAAGGCAGCAG